Molecule: transfer RNA, 73 nt
Filed under: bacterium
Lineage: Bacteria
Description: tRNA-Arg
Rfam family: tRNA
About the family: Transfer RNA (tRNA) molecules are approximately 80 nucleotides in length. Their secondary structure includes four short double-helical elements and three loops (D, anti-codon, and T loops).
Source: RNAcentral
GCCCACGUAGCUCAGGGGAAAGAGCACUUGCCUCCGGAGCAAGGGGCCGCAGGUUCGAAUCCUGCCGUGGGCG